AGCAGCCGCGGUAAUUCCAGCUCCAAUAGCGUAUAUUAAAGUUGUUGCAGUUAAAAAGCUCGUAGUUGAAUUUCGGGAUUGACGUGAUGGUCGUGCCUUACGGGGUAUGAACUGUUGCAGUCAAUUUCUCACCUUCUGGAGAAAUAUGAUGUCCUUAAUUGGGUGUCAUAUGGAACCAGAACUUUUACCUUGAAAAAAUUAGAGUGUUUAAAGCAGGCUUAUUGCUCGAAUACAUUAGCAUGGAAUAAUAAAAUAGGACGGCAUGGUUCUAUUUUGUUGGUUUCUAGGAUCACCGUAAUGAUUAAUAGGGAUAGUUGGGGGCAUUAGUAUUCAAUUGUCAGAGGUGAAAUUCUUGGAUUUAUUGAAGACUAACUACUGCGAAAGCAUUUGCCAAGGAUGUUUUCAUUAAUCAAGAACGAAAGUUAGGGGAUCGAAGACGAUCAGAUACCGUCGUAGUCUUAACCAUAAACUAUGCCGACUAGGAAUCAGACGAUGUUAAUUUUUAAUGACUCGU
RNAcentral lists this unclassified non-coding RNA (514 nucleotides) under uncultured Glomus. Its description in RNAcentral is "SSU rRNA". It matches the Rfam family "Eukaryotic small subunit ribosomal RNA", at positions 569 to 1079 of the family's 1831-position model. Lineage: Eukaryota; Fungi; Glomeromycota; Glomeromycetes; Glomerales; Glomeraceae. The record is from RNAcentral.